This 429-nucleotide ribosomal RNA is filed under the name Pseudomonadota bacterium. RNAcentral's name for it is "Proteobacteria bacterium partial 16S ribosomal RNA". It matches the Rfam family "Bacterial small subunit ribosomal RNA", at positions 355 to 776 of the family's 1533-position model. The record is from RNAcentral. Lineage: Bacteria; Pseudomonadati; Pseudomonadota.
UGGGGAAUAUUGGACAAUGGGCGAAAGCCUGAUCCAGCCAUGCCGCGUGUGUGAAGAAGGUCUUCGGAUUGUAAAGUACUUUAAGUUGGGAGGAAGGGCAGUAAGCGAAUACCUUGCUGUUUUGACGUUACCGACAGAAUAAGCACCGGCUAACUCUGUGCCAGCAGCCGCGGUAAUACAGAGGGUGCAAGCGUUAAUCGGAAUUACUGGGCGUAAAGCGCGCGUAGGUGGUUCGUUAAGUUGAAUGUGAAAGCCCCGGGCUCAACCUGGGAACUGCAUCCAAAACUGGCGAGCUAGAGUAGGGCAGAGGGUGGUGGAAUUUCCUGUGUAGCGGUGAAAUGCGUAGAUAUAGGAAGGAACACCAGUGGCGAAGGCGACCACCUGGGCUCAUACUGACACUGAGGUGCGAAAGCGUGGGGAGCAAACAGG